This is a long non-coding RNA of Oncorhynchus tshawytscha (Chinook salmon), 337 nucleotides long. The record is from Ensembl. NCBI's taxonomy places the organism in Eukaryota, Metazoa, Chordata, Actinopteri, Salmoniformes, Salmonidae.
GGAAGGCUGAGGGUUGUUAGGGGAUGCAGUAAGGCUGAGGGUUGUUAGGGGAUGCAGUAAGGCUGAGGGUUUUGAGGGAUGCAGGAAGGCUGAGGGUUGUUAGGGGAUGCAGUAAGGCUGAGGGUUGUGAGGGAUGCAGGAAGGCUGAGGGAUGUUAGGGGAUGCAGGAAGGCUGAGGGUUGUUAGGGGAUGCAGUAAGGCUGAGGGUUUUGAGGGAUGCAGGAAGGCUGAGGGUUGUUUGGGGAUGCAGUAAGGCUGAGGGUUUUGAGGGAUGCAGGAAGGCUGAGGGUUGUUAGGGGAUACAGUAAGACUGAGGGAUUUUAGGGGAUGCAGUAAG